CAGUAGCCGCGGUAAUACGUAGGUGGCAAGCGUUGUCCGGAAUUAUUGGGCGUGAAGGGCUCGCAGGCGGUUUCUUAAGUCUGAUGUGAAAGCCCCCGGCUCAACCGGGGAGGGUCAUUGGAAACUGGGAAACUUGAGUGCAGAAGAGGAGAGUGGAAUUCCACGUGUAGCGGUGAAAUGCGUAGAGAUGUGGAGGAACACCAGUGGCGAAGGCGACUCUCUGGUCUGUAACUGACGCUGAGGAGCGAAAGCGUGGGGAGCAAACAGGAUUAGAUACCCCUGUAGUCCCUGUCUCUUAUAC
This 301-nucleotide ribosomal RNA is filed under the name uncultured bacterium. Its description in RNAcentral is "partial 16S ribosomal RNA". It matches the Rfam family "Bacterial small subunit ribosomal RNA", at positions 509 to 807 of the family's 1533-position model. The record is from RNAcentral.